This 69-nucleotide transfer RNA is filed under the name Plutella xylostella (diamondback moth). Its description in RNAcentral is "tRNA-Glu". The record is from RNAcentral. Lineage: Eukaryota; Metazoa; Arthropoda; Insecta; Lepidoptera; Plutellidae.
UGGUAGCUCAGUCGGGUAAGCGCCCGCUUCUCACGCAAGAGAUGCGGGUUCGAAUCCCGGCGUUGACAU